Molecule: non-coding RNA, 4625 nt
Organism: Vicugna pacos (alpaca)
Lineage: Eukaryota; Metazoa; Chordata; Mammalia; Artiodactyla; Camelidae
Source: RefSeq, a predicted model, not a curated record
CGCCGGGGCGUGAUGACGCAGGACGUGCGCUCGGUGGCUCAUAGGGAAGAUGGCGGCUACUCUUUUGGAGGAGUGGGAUUGAGGGGCGGAGGGAGGAGGCCAGACAGGAGAGACAUUCCCAACGGCGAAGACGAACACUUCGCUCGCCAUCCAUUAGGAGCUCUGCUCAGCGCCAGAGGUGUCCUAGAACGAAAACAUCACCAUGGCUACAGAAAUUGGUUCUCCUCCUCGUUUUUUCCAUAUGCCAAGGUUCCAACACCAGGCACCUCGACAACUGUUUUAUAAGCGACCUGAUUUUGCACAGCAGCAAGCAAUGCAACAGCUUACCUUUGAUGGAAAACGAAUGAGAAAGGCAGUAAACCGAAAAACCAUCGACUAUAAUCCUUCCGUAAUUAAGUAUUUGGAGAAUAGAAUAUGGCAAAGAGACCAGAGAGAUAUGCGGGCAAUUCAGCCUGAUGCAGGUUAUUACAAUGAUUUGGUCCCACCUAUAGGGAUGUUGAAUAAUCCUAUGAAUGCAGUAACAACAAAGUUUGUUCGAACAUCAACAAAUAAAGUGAAGUGUCCAGUAUUUGUUGUUAGGUGGACUCCAGAAGGAAGGCGGUUGGUCACUGGAGCUUCUAGUGGAGAGUUCACCUUGUGGAAUGGACUCACUUUCAAUUUUGAAACAAUAUUACAGGCUCACGAUAGCCCAGUGAGGGCCAUGACUUGGUCGCAUAAUGACAUGUGGAUGUUGACAGCGGACCACGGAGGAUAUGUGAAAUACUGGCAGUCGAACAUGAACAACGUCAAGAUGUUCCAGGCACAUAAGGAGGCGAUUAGAGAGGCCAGUUUCUCACCCACGGAUAAUAAAUUUGCUACGUGCUCUGAUGACGGCACUGUUAGGAUCUGGGACUUUCUUCGUUGCCAUGAGGAAAGAAUUCUCCGAGGGCACGGUGCUGAUGUGAAAUGUGUAGACUGGCAUCCAACAAAAGGGUUAGUUGUUUCAGGAAGUAAAGAUAGUCAACAGCCAAUCAAGUUCUGGGAUCCCAAGACUGGGCAGAGUCUUGCAACACUUCACGCCCAUAAAAACACAGUCAUGGAAGUGAAAUUAAAUCUCAAUGGCAACUGGCUACUCACAGCAUCCCGUGACCAUCUCUGUAAACUUUUCGACAUCCGAAACCUGAAAGAAGAGCUCCAAGUCUUCCGAGGUCAUAAGAAAGAAGCUACAGCUGUGGCCUGGCAUCCUGUUCAUGAAGGACUUUUUGCAAGUGGAGGGUCUGACGGCUCUUUGUUAUUCUGGCAUGUUGGGGUGGAGAAGGAAGUUGGGGGGAUGGAGAUGGCCCACGAAGGAAUGAUCUGGAGUCUGGCUUGGCAUCCUCUUGGACACAUUCUCUGCUCAGGUUCAAACGACCACACUAGCAAAUUUUGGACCCGAAACCGACCAGGUGAUAAAAUGCGAGAUCGGUAUAAUCUAAACCUAUUACCUGGAAUGUCUGAAGAUGGAGUGGAAUAUGAUGACCUUGAACCUAAUAGCCUGGCAGUGAUUCCAGGGAUGGGAAUACCAGAACAGCUAAAAUUAGCUAUGGAGCAAGAACAGAUGGGGAAAGAUGAAUCCAAUGAAAUUGAAAUGACAAUUCCAGGUUUAGACUGGGGAAUGGAGGAGGUGAUGCAAAAAGAUCAGAAAAAAGUCCCUCAGAAGAAAGUUCCUUACGCAAAGCCGAUUCCUGCCCAGUUCCAGCAGGCUUGGAUGCAAAAUAAAGUUCCAAUUCCUGCGCCAAACGAAGUAUUGAAUGACAGAAAAGAGGACAUUAAAUUGGAAGAGAAGAAAAAAACACAAGCAGAAAUUGAGCAAGAGAUGGCCACGCUGCAGUACACUAACCCACAGCUGCUGGAGCAACUUAAAAUUGAAAGACUUGCACAGAAGCAGGCUGAGCAAAUUCAGCCUCCUCCUUCAUCCGGCACCCCUCUCCUGGGACCCCAGCCCUUUCCAGGACAAGGCCCAAUGUCUCAGAUUCCUCAAGGUUUUCAACAGCCUCAUCCGUCUCAGCAGAUGCCAAUGAACAUGGCUCAAAUGGGGCCUCCAGGUCCACAGGGACAGUUUAGACCCCCUGGACCCCAGGGACAAAUGGGACCACAAGGUCCUCCACUGCAUCAGGGAGGUGGGGGGCCACAAGGAUUCAUGGGACCACAAGGACCCCAGGGCCCGCCCCAGGGGUUGCCAAGGCCUCAGGACAUGCACGGGCCUCAAGGAAUGCAAAGACAUCCUGGACCUCAUGGCCCUUUGGGACCUCAAGGACCACCUGGACCACAGGGUAAUUCUGGUCCUCAAGGUCAUAUGGGUCCUCAGGGUCCGCCUGGCCCACAAGGUCACAUAGGCCCACAAGGCCCACCUGGCCCGCAGGGUCACUUGGGCCCUCAGGGACCUCCUGGUACUCAAGGUAUGCAGGGACCACCUGGUCCCAGAGGAAUGCAAGGACCUCCUCAUCCUCAUGGGAUACAAGGUGGGCCAGGAUCUCAAGGGAUCCAAGGUCCUGUGUCUCAGGGACCUCUGAUGGGAUUGAAUCCAAGAGGAAUGCAGGGCCCUCCUGGCCCCCGAGAGAAUCAGGGCCCUGCUCCCCAAGGGAUGAUGCUGGGCCACCCACCUCAAGAGAUGAGAGGACCUCAUCCUCCAAGUGGACUGCUGGGACACGGGCCUCAGGAGAUGCGGGGCCCCCAGGAGAUGCGGGGCAUGCAGGGGCCUCCACCCCAAGGAUCAAUGCUGGGCCCUCCGCAGGAACUGCGAGGGCCUCCAGGCUCACAAGGUCAGCAGGGGCCGCCCCAGGGCUCUUUGGGACCUCCACCCCAGGGUGGCAUGCAAGGGCCCCCUGGACCUCAGGGACAGCAGAACCCGGCAAGAGGGCCACAUCCAUCUCAAGGGCCAAUACCAUUCCAGCAGCAGAAAACAGCUCUGCUAGGUGAUGGGCCCCGGGCCCCCUUCAACCAGGAAGGACAGAGCGCAGGCCCCCCGCCCCUGAUACCAGGCCUAGGGCAGCAGGGGGCGCAAGGCCGCAUCCCCCCCCUUAACCCUGGACCAGGACCCGGCCCUAACAAAGGUGACUCGCGGGGGCCUCCAAACCACCACAUGGGCCCGAUGUCCGAGAGGCGGCACGAGCAGGGCAGUGGCCCCGAGCACGGCCCCGAGAGGGGGCCUUUCCGCGGCGGCCAGGACUGCAGGGGCCCCCCCGACAGGCGCGGCCCGCACCCGGACUUCCCUGAUGACUUCAGCAGACCAGACGACUUCCACCCUGACAAGCGCUUUGGCCACCGGUUACGUGAAUUUGAGGGGCGAGGAGGACCUUUACCCCAAGAGGAGAAGUGGAGGCGUGGGGGCCCCGGGCCUCCGUUUCCUCCUGACCACAGGGAGUUCAGUGAAGGGGAUGGCCGGGGCGCAGCCCGGGGCCCCCCAGGGGCGUGGGAAGGCCGCAGACCUGGAGAUGAGCGCUUCCCCCGGGACCCCGACGACCCACGCUUUCGAGGGCGCAGAGAAGAAAGCUUCAGACGAGGAGCCCCGCCGAGACACGAGGGCCGUGCUCCCCCCAGAGGAAGGGAUGGUUUUCCUGGUCUUGAGGACUUCGGGCCAGAGGAGAAUUUUGAUGCUUCUGAUGAAGCAGCCCGAGGAAGAGAUCUCAGAGGCCGAGGUCGGGGUACCCCCCGAGGAGGGAGGAAGGGGCUUACUUCCCACUCCUGAUGAGUUCCCUCGCUUUGAAGGAGGCCGGAAACCAGACUCCUGGGAUGGAAACAGAGAGCCAGGGCCAGGUCACGAACAUUUCCGGGACGCUCCCCGCCCCGACCACCCCCCUCACGACGGUCACUCCCCAGCCAGCAGAGAGCGGUCCUCUUCUCUCCAAGGCAUGGACAUGGCAUCCCUCCCGCCCCGAAAGCGCCCCUGGCACGAUGGGCCCGGGACCUCUGAGCACAGAGACAUGGAAGCGCCAGGGGGUCCCUCCGAGGACCGAGGAGGCAAAGGCCGAGGGGGCCCAGGACCUUCCCAGAGAGUGCCCAAGUCCGGGCGUCCCAGCUCCUUGGAUGGAGAUCACCAUGACGGAUACCACAGAGAUGAACCUUUUGGGGGCCCUCCAGGCAGUGGUACCCCUUCGAGAGGGGGCCGGAGUGGCAGUAACUGGGGUAGAGGGAGUAACAUGAACUCUGGCCCGCCACGGCGAGGAGCUUCAAGGGGGGGUGGGAGGGGUCGGUAGGAACUGGGGCUCCAUCCCUCUGGGCCUCUCUGGACAGUAUUUAAGAACUUCCUGUGGACUCACCAAGAGAAACAAAAGGAAACCUGCACCAUGUAGCCCUGAGCUCCUUCCGGGGCAGCCGAAGCCCAGGAGCCCCUAACGAGGUCUUCACGACGAGACUGCUGCUGGCCGCGCAGAGUCGCCGGCCUUGUUCUGUCCUGUCCACCCACUGCCCCGACUCCCACAUUGUUUUGUGAAGAUAAACGCUGGAAUCCUUUUUUUUUAAGUGUCACGAGACAUGGAGCACCUCCACCAAUUUAAGUUCAUGUCCAAUUGGAAAUUUGUUUCUAUAUGUACAGUUUGUCAGAGAAAAAACAUUAAGUUGUUUUUGUAUGAAUACAGAAUGUGAUUUAAGCAAGAAUUAACAGAAAA